RNAcentral lists this ribosomal RNA (408 nucleotides) under uncultured bacterium. Its description in RNAcentral is "bacterial SSU rRNA". It matches the Rfam family "Bacterial small subunit ribosomal RNA", at positions 355 to 775 of the family's 1533-position model. The record is from RNAcentral.
UGGGGAAUAUUGCACAAUGGGCGCAAGCCUGAUGCAGCAACGCCGCGUGAGGGAUGACGGCCUUCGGGUUGUAAACCUCUUUUAGUAGGGAAGAAGCGUAAGUGACGGUACCUACAGAAAAAGCACCGGCUAACUACGUGCCAGCAGCCGCGGUAAUACGUAGGGUGCAAGCGUUGUCCGGAAUUAUUGGGCGUAAAGAGCUCGUAGGCGGUUUGUCGCGUCUGCUGUGAAAUCCUAAGGCUCAACCUUAGACUUGCAGUGGGUACGGGCAGGCUUGAGUGCGGUAGGGGAGAUUGGAAUUCCUGGUGUAGCGGUGGAAUGCGCAGAUAUCAGGAGGAACACCGAUGGCGAAGGCAGAUCUCUGGGCCGCUACUGACGCUGAGGAGCGAAAGCAUGGGGAGCGAACAG